This 616-nucleotide unclassified non-coding RNA is filed under the name Hevea brasiliensis (rubber tree). The record is from RNAcentral. Lineage: Eukaryota; Viridiplantae; Streptophyta; Magnoliopsida; Malpighiales; Euphorbiaceae.
CAAAUUGCACCCAUUGAAGCUAAGGCUUGUCAUCCUCUGCUUCCUUUCCAUCCAGUCAUCCUGAAACAAAAAAAAUCUGCAUAAAACCCCAUUUCUCAUGGUGGUUCAAGCCUUUUCAUCAUUUCUUUAAGAGCCCAGAUUUUUGUCUCUUUCCGAAGAAUUAUGCCAUGGAGGUUCUAAAUGCAGCAGGUUUGACCCCAAUAUCGGUUCUUUGUGAAAAAAGAACAGAACCCAGAAAAUUUUUGUGUAUUCCUGCUACUUCAUCACUCAAAUUCUCAACUUCUGCUUCUCUAAGCACCACCCCCCCUACCAUGCAAGAGUGUUUAUCAGGGACUUUUCACGGGGGUCUAGUACUUUUAUCUUCAGUACUUAGUAGUGGGCUAGGUAAAGCUUUAACAUAUGAGGAAGCACUACAACAGUCAGCGAGCACCCCAGCAUCUGAUUUUGAUGUCAGUGGAGUUCUUGAUAGUGUUACUAGUUUUGCAACGGAAAAUCCUACUGUUAUAGCAGGUGGUGCUGUAGUUUUGGCAAUUCCAUUGGUUUUGUCUCAGGUUCUCAAGAAACCCAAGCCAUGGGGUGUUGAGUCCGCAAGAAAAGCUUAUGCAGUAUUGGGAGA